CGUAGGGGGCGAGCGUUGUCCGGAUUUAUUGGGCGUAAAGAGCUCGUAGGCGGUUUGGCAAGUCGGGUGUGAAAACUCCGGGCUCAACUCGGAGACGCCACUCGAUACUGCCAUGACUUGAGUCCGGUAGGGGAGUGCGGAAUUCCUGGUGUAGCGGUGAAAUGCGCAGAUAUCAGGAGGAACACCGGUGGCGAAGGCGGCACUCUGGGCCGGUACUGACGCUGAGGAGCGAAAGCGUGGGGAGCGAACAGGAUUAGAUACCCUGGUAGUCCACGCCGUAAACGUUGGGCACUAGGUGUGGGGCUCGAUCGACGGGCUCCGUGCCGUAGCUAACGCAUUAAGUGCCCCGCCUGGGAAGUACGGCCGCAAGGCUA
This 374-nucleotide ribosomal RNA is filed under the name uncultured organism. RNAcentral describes it as "bacterial SSU rRNA". It matches the Rfam family "Bacterial small subunit ribosomal RNA", at positions 526 to 896 of the family's 1533-position model. The record is from RNAcentral.